Non-coding RNA from Nerophis ophidion (straightnose pipefish), 73 nucleotides. NCBI's taxonomy places the organism in Eukaryota, Metazoa, Chordata, Actinopteri, Syngnathiformes, Syngnathidae. The record is from the annotation of a RefSeq genome assembly.
GCUGAAAUGGCACAGUUGGGAGAGCGUCAGACUGAAGAUGUGAAGGUCCCUGGUUCAACCCUGGGUUUCAGCA